AAUACAGUUGGGGUGGGAUGAAAGGAAAAUUAGUCUUUAAGGAUUUGAAUCUUCCAAAAAUAAUUAUGCAAGCAGUUCGAUUACAUACGCAGUAUAGCCACAUUACGGAUGCCGAAUUUGCAGAUUCCAUCUCCAAAUGGCUUGCGCAAGCACCUCUGAGGAUUCAAAGACAAUU
This is a long non-coding RNA of Temnothorax curvispinosus, 175 nucleotides long. RefSeq lists it as uncharacterized. The record is from RefSeq and is a predicted model, not a curated record. NCBI's taxonomy places the organism in Eukaryota, Metazoa, Arthropoda, Insecta, Hymenoptera, Formicidae. The transcript is spliced from 2 exons.